This is a long non-coding RNA of Sarcophilus harrisii (Tasmanian devil), 436 nucleotides long. RefSeq lists it as uncharacterized. The transcript is spliced from 3 exons. Lineage: Eukaryota; Metazoa; Chordata; Mammalia; Dasyuromorphia; Dasyuridae. The record is from RefSeq and is a predicted model, not a curated record.
GAUGGUAUCUUUUUUUUUUUCUUUUGGUCAAAAGACCUUUGUUAACAAAGGCUCAGAAAUUGCAUCCUUAAGCGCCUGUGGGCUGCUUCAGAAGAAAGGUCUGGGUUUUGGAAGCCUCUUGUUGAGGUAGCCUCUCAAAUGGGCUCCCCGCCUCCCACUUGGAGAUAGAAAGAGUGGCGUUGUGACCUUCAGGAAUACCUUGGAGAUAAUGAGCCCUGGCCACCUUUCCAGCUCCAUCCGACACUGUGUGGUACCCCAGCUUCCUCCGGUGCACAAACAGGCCCCGGCGGAGGCCCAAGAGGGAGCCGGCAGGACCUUCCUCCCGCUGGAGCCAUUUACUGCUUGGACAGUGAGAGAGCAAAUGGAAAAUUCCAGGUGGCUGUCUCCAUCACAAGUCUAUUGGAAGUGGACUGAAUCAUCUUAUGGUUGAAAAAAG